RNAcentral lists this ribosomal RNA (254 nucleotides) under uncultured prokaryote. RNAcentral's name for it is "partial 16S ribosomal RNA". It matches the Rfam family "Bacterial small subunit ribosomal RNA", at positions 523 to 775 of the family's 1533-position model. The record is from RNAcentral.
AUACGAAGGGGGCUAGCGUUGUUCGGAAUUACUGGGCGUAAAGCGUAUGUAGGCGGAUCGUUAAGUCGGGGGUGAAAUCCCGAGGCUCAACCUCGGAACUGCCUUCGAUACUGGCGAUCUUCGAGUCCGGGAGAGGUGAGUGGAACUCCGAGUGUAGAGGUGAAAUUCGUAGAUAUUCGGAAGAACACCAGUGGCGAAGGCGGCUCACUGGCCCGGUACUGACGCUGAAAUACGAAAGCGUGGGGAGCAAACAG